GACAGAGGGUGCAAACGUUGCUCGGAAUUACUGGGCGUAAAGCGCGUGUAGGUGGAUUGGUGUGUCAGAUGUGAAAGCCCUGGGCUCAACCCAGGAACAGCACCUGAAACUACCAGUCUUGAGUGGUGGAGAGGGAAGUGGAAUUCCUGGUGUAGAGGUGAAAUUCGUAGAUAUCAGGAGGAACACCGAUGGCGAAGGCAGGUCUCUGGGCAGUUACUGACGCUGAGGAGCGAAAGCAUGGGGAGCGAACAGG
RNAcentral lists this ribosomal RNA (253 nucleotides) under uncultured bacterium. RNAcentral describes it as "partial 16S ribosomal RNA". It matches the Rfam family "Bacterial small subunit ribosomal RNA", at positions 524 to 776 of the family's 1533-position model. The record is from RNAcentral.